AGAGUUUGAUCCUGGCUCAGAUUGAACGCUGGCGGAAUGCUUUACACAUGCAAGUCGAGCGGCAGCGCGGGGGCAACCCUGGCGGCGAGCGGCGAACGGGUGAGUAAUGUAUCGGAACGUACCCUGUCGUGGGGGAUAACUAUCCGAAAGGAUAGCUAAUACCGCAUACGACCUGAGGGUGAAAGCGGGGGACCUGGGGUAACUUGGGCCUCGCGCGAUAGGAGCGGCCGAUAUCGGAUUAGCUAGUUGGUGGGGUAAAGGCUCACCAAGGCGACGAUCCGUAGCUGGUCUGAGAGGACGACCAGCCACACUGGAACUGAGACACGGUCCAGACUCCUACGGGAGGCAGCAGUGGGGAAUUUUGGACAAUGGGCGAAAGCCUGAUCCAGCCAUACCGCGUGAGUGAAGAAGGCCUUCGGGUUGUAAAGCUCUUUCAGCCGGAAAGAAAUUGCUUCUAUUAAUACUAGGAGUAGAUGACGGUACCGGAAGAAGAAGCACCGGCUAACUACGUGCCAGCAGCCGCGGUAAUAC
RNAcentral lists this ribosomal RNA (531 nucleotides) under uncultured Burkholderiaceae bacterium. RNAcentral's name for it is "bacterial SSU rRNA". It matches the Rfam family "Bacterial small subunit ribosomal RNA", at positions 8 to 526 of the family's 1533-position model. The record is from RNAcentral. Lineage: Bacteria; Pseudomonadati; Pseudomonadota; Betaproteobacteria; Burkholderiales; Burkholderiaceae.